AUUAAUUUUUUCUCACCAACUUCAAGUUUCCUAUUCAAAAGUCAUUAUAAAAUGUUAUAGCAAAAUUUGGGAGUUGUCAGGUGCCACAGUGAAAUAAAUUGCAAAAAUCUCCGUAAAGGCGGCCGCUCAGCCACAGCCCGUACGAUGAGCGAUAGCUGUCUGCUGGUGCCUGCAACUAACUGCAUAUGUGUAUGUAUGUGUGUGUGUGCUUAACUCUCUUCAUCGCCACACCAUGAGCAACUCUGUCUCGGGUUUGCUCAAUCGAUUACACGGAGGCUCUUCUAUUUUCACGGAGUUGGAAGAAACUGUACGAAAGCUACUACUUAUUUUUCGCUAAUCAUCUCAGCUCGUUACCGCCAAUGCCUCGUCGCUAUUUGCCGCUAUUCAUUGAUCGUUUUGGUCUUCGUGGCGCGCCAUCUGCAAGGGAAAAUCGAAAAAGACACAACAAAAGUUGCUUGAAUAAGGCAAAACUUGAUAAUCGCAAUGAAAUUUGACGUCGCUCAGCAAGUAUGAUAAAAGGAAAUAAAAAUCGAAAUAUAAAAAUAAAAAUAGUGAAA
Ceratitis capitata (Mediterranean fruit fly) is the source of this 557-nucleotide long non-coding RNA. RefSeq lists it as uncharacterized. The transcript is spliced from 3 exons. The record is from RefSeq and is a predicted model, not a curated record. NCBI's taxonomy places the organism in Eukaryota, Metazoa, Arthropoda, Insecta, Diptera, Tephritidae.